Molecule: microRNA precursor, 165 nt
Filed under: Lotus japonicus
Lineage: Eukaryota; Viridiplantae; Streptophyta; Magnoliopsida; Fabales; Fabaceae
Description: miR11097f stem-loop (lja-MIR11097f)
Source: miRBase by way of RNAcentral
GCACUGUCAGUAUAAACAUUUUUUUAUACAGACGUCCAAUGAUAGGUUGUUAAGUCAUAAAAUAAGCUUUUAAUUUAAUUAAAAUAAAAAUGAUCAUAAAUGCAUUUGAAUACGUGACAUUCCGUUAUUGGACGUCUGUGUAAAAAUGUUUUACACUGACAAUGC